Molecule: microRNA precursor, 165 nt
Filed under: Oryza brachyantha (malo sina)
Lineage: Eukaryota; Viridiplantae; Streptophyta; Magnoliopsida; Poales; Poaceae
Description: MIR812 microRNA precursor family
Rfam family: MIR812 microRNA precursor family
Source: Rfam by way of RNAcentral
UAUAAUUUUUGACUCUUCGUCUUAUUUAAAUUUUUUUCGAUUGAUAUUUUUGUUUUUACCAGAUAAUAAAUCAUGAAUAGAACUUUAUGUGUGACUAAUUUUUUUCUAAUUUUCUAAAAAAUUUUCAAAUAAGACGAAUAAUCAAAUGUUGGACACGAAAAAUCA